Long non-coding RNA from Bufo bufo (common toad), 2463 nucleotides. RefSeq lists it as uncharacterized. The transcript is spliced from 11 exons. The record is from RefSeq and is a predicted model, not a curated record. NCBI's taxonomy places the organism in Eukaryota, Metazoa, Chordata, Amphibia, Anura, Bufonidae.
GGCUUUCAUGUGCUGGAAACUCACAGCGCUCGGCAGAAAGAUGGGAUCUUAAAGGGAAACGACUUUUGGCUCCUUGCAAGAAAGAAACUUCUGUACAUAUUAAUCUGAUUAGCAUCUAAGGAUUUCCAAAUGAAUUGGCUUGAACCUAGCUGGGUAAAGUUUGUGCCUGUGCAUCAUGCAAGCCAGUGAUGAGUGGCUGGCUAUAGGGGGCUGAUGCAGAGUGCUGUCUCAUUGAUGGACCGUGUGUGCCUGAUCAGAGCAUUUCUAUUCAGCCUGCACUGAAGAAAACUCUCCCUGCUGCCUCCAGCAGUCUCUCCAGGAGGACACCUCGGACUAUGAUGUAAGGCUCUGAAAACGUCCCAUUUCCUGAACUACGCAGAAUACUUGGUGGAUUAAGCGGUGGCCAAUUAAGAGAUAACUGGAGAUAAUAUCGUGACCCAGCUGAUAAUGGAGGAGGGGCCUAGAAAAUUGGACGCCUGGGCUUCCUUAACCCUUUGACGAACGACGUUACCGGAGCAGACACCCCCUACUUUAAUCUCCACGAACAUAAAGACAACCAGCCAGGACACAAGAGACCUCUACAGUCAUCAGAAUGACAACAAAAACUGCGCAGGAGGAUACUUUGGAAAUAGAAAAAAAGAAUGAAAAUACAGAGAUCCCCUACAAUGUUGACCAUUCCUUCUACUUGUCAUGGAGUAUAUAUGCAACUGGAUAUCAGUAACUGAAGAGGAUGAGUUAUUGUAGUCAGAUUCCUUUAACUAAUCGAGCAGAGACCCCAGAGGUACAGAUAGCCAAAGAACAUAUUUAAGGAGUUUGCACAUGCAAGACGCUCGGAGAAUAAUGGCUUAUCUCAUUAUCUUGACUGCAGAAUUGUAAAGGUGUAAUCUUGGUUUUCUGAAGAUUAAUUGAGUACUCAUGGGUCCCAUAUAGCAAUUUGUCAAGAGCCCAACAUGUUAGUAAAGGCUAGGAUGACUAACCUAGAAGUCUGGAGCCCGGCAUCAUCUUUAUACUUCAUUGUAUUUAAGAGCACACUGAGGUCAGUGACGAAUAUUAUCCAUGAAGGUAUUCAUCACACAAUGAAGAUAAUGGAUGAAGUAGUGGAGAGAAGAAGCAACAUACUGGAUACAUACAGAAGUAAGUUCAGGUCAGCACAGAAGGACGCAGAACAGGAAAGGAAAAAAAGGAAGAGGAAAAGGCAGUUAUGUAGAAAAAAAAACUAAAGAGAUGGAGAAAACACCAAAAAAAUAUCAUGGAUGAUAUCAAGUCUCAUCAAAACUGUUGGUUACCAGCCAAUAGUCAUAAGAUCGUGUGACCCUCGUCAUGGACCACAUUGAGUGCAUAGAAUACAGCCUAUAACUUGCCUGAGGAAGAUCAAGGUCAACAGCCAUCCACAUAAAAGAAAAAUGAACAAGUGGAAACCUUGCAGGUCUUUACAAGAUUUAUACUUCACAGAUUACUUUAACAGUGCAUUGAAUGAGGAUUUGUUCAAACGUGGAAAAAAAAGAACAGGUUUUCAAUGUUUUACCCUGUAUAACACCUUGUGCACAGUAGAAUGUAAAAAUAAGACUAGACCCCUGAAUAGGGGAAAAUUAAUCAUAUUACAGCAGUCUUCUUAUCAAAGGCUUUGAAAUUAUUUUAUUUUUUUUCAGCCCCUUAGCUUGCUUUUUUAAAUUAAAAUAUCUUACUGAAGGUCACGGAGGCAUAUGGACUUGCUCAAUCACCAUAAAACAAAAGGUUUGUUUUUGUAACAUUUUGUAAUUCAGCAUUGUAGGCAACAUGCGUCCAUAUAAACAAUCUGAUUUCUUACUAAUUUUCUCAAACAUCACUUUGAAAUUUUGAAAAAUGAAGUUAAUAUAAAAAAAUGGGUUUAAAGUAAUGAAAUUUGUUAUGUACUCUUUACACAGUGCCAACGUACUCUAAUGUUCUAUACAAAUAUUGUUAUCACUCUCAUCAGUCCUUGUUCCUCAGCGGGCACAAUCACAUGCACACACUAUAUUAAUUAUUUAAUUUAAUUGAAACUUCAAUAUAUUAGUACAUACUGCAUUCAACCAGCACCCCAAAUAUUGUGUCAGUGAUGAGGACAGUGCUUCCUCCUUUUCCCAGGAAUAACUCAGUCAGUCCACCACAUGAAAUUUCAUCCAAGCCAGGCACUUUGGAUUAUGAGCUAUUUAGCAAUAUCUAUGCAGUUUGUUCUCUGAAACAUGAGGUUAAAAAUUACUCAUUUGAGUCACAUUAUUAUGACCACCAGCUAAUAUCCGGAGAAACCACCGUGUGCAGCACGGACACCAGCUAGACGGGCUAGGAGUGACUCAAUAAGGUCCUGGUAGGUUAUUACAGAUAUCUGGAGCCAUGUUGACUGCAGUGCAUCUCACAGCUGCUGGAGGGUGCGUCGGGGAGGAUUCAUAGAGGGAACAUGACGAUAGAGGUUGUCCCAUAGAUGGUCAAUUUUAUUCAAGUCUGGGG